GACAGCAGUCGCCGCGGUAAUACGUAGGGUGCAAGCGUUAAUCGGAAUUACUGGGCGUAAAGCGUGCGCAGGCGGUUAUAUAAGACAGAUGUGAAAUCCCCGGGCUCAACCUGGGAACUGCAUUUGUGACUGUAUAGCUAGAGUACGGCAGAGGGGGAUGGAAUUCCGCGUGUAGCAGUGAAAUGCGUAGAUAUGCGGAGGAACACCGAUGGCGAAGGCAAUCCCCUGGGCCUGUACUGACGCUCAUGCACGAAAGCGUGGGGAGCAAACAGGAUUAGAUACCCCCGUAGUCCCUGUCUCUUAUAC
RNAcentral lists this ribosomal RNA (306 nucleotides) under uncultured bacterium. RNAcentral describes it as "partial 16S ribosomal RNA". It matches the Rfam family "Bacterial small subunit ribosomal RNA", at positions 507 to 807 of the family's 1533-position model. The record is from RNAcentral.